UCUAGAGUCUCAUCAGAUCUUCAACCACUUAGCCGCUGGUUUGGAUUACUUGAAGAAUGUAUACGGAUAUGUUGUAGCCUUUUCCAGAAUUUGGCACAUCUGUACGGAUUGAAAUUUGCAGUUGGCGUCUACUAGACAGGGGAAGAUCAGCGUCAGUAUGUUCUUUGAUAGCAUUGAAGUGAACCUUCUUAAUAUCGGCAGCAUUAAAAAAAUCCUUUUUGCAAAGACGUAAGAUGAUCGGCGCUAGUACCUUCUUUGAUAGCAUUGAAGGGAAUCAUCUAACCAUCGGCAGAUUUGCAAAAUUUGGUGGGAGGUGCAACAAGACUGUUUCAAUGGAAGGUGUAGCCCUUUUCGGGAAUUGACCGUACAUUUAAACUGAAUGGACUUUUCAGUUGGCGUCUGCCAGACAGGGGAAUACCAGCGUUCGUAAGUUAUUUGAUAGCGUGGAACUGAACCUUAUAAACACCGGGAGAUUUAUAAAAUUCCUUUUUUCAAAGACAUAAGAUGAUCGGCGCUAGUAUCUUUUUUGAUAGCAUUGAAUGGAAUCAUCUAACUAUCGGCAGAUUUGAAAAAUGGGAUAGGAGAUGCAACAAGGCUGUUUUAGUGGAAGGUGUAGCCGUUUCCGGAACUGCCUUACAUUUAAACUGAAUGGA
Diabrotica virgifera virgifera (western corn rootworm) is the source of this 653-nucleotide long non-coding RNA. RefSeq lists it as uncharacterized. The record is from RefSeq and is a predicted model, not a curated record. Lineage: Eukaryota; Metazoa; Arthropoda; Insecta; Coleoptera; Chrysomelidae. The transcript is spliced from 3 exons.